CUUAUUUACAAGUUUGCCACUCAAAUGAAUAAAGGUAAAAAUAUGACUUUAUAGCCUAAAAUUCAUAAGGGUUUGUUUUGGAGAAAAUUGGAGAGAACAUGUCUCUCCAUUUCUCUCUAAAGAGGCCAGCCACCUUGGGGGGUGCAUCUUGCAAUCCCACUACUCCAAGGUCACUCAUUUCUUCUCCAAUCUCUCCUUGGUGAAGAGACUUAGAGGUUCCCUAUUUUGGGAACUUGGAGAAACAUAUUCAUCUAUCCAAAUCCAUAGAUUUAAGAUGCAAGGAAUGAAGGCCCUCUCUUUGAGUGAUUAGCCUUUGCUUAUGCAAAGAGGAAUCUACAAAGGUAUAUUUCUCAAC
RNAcentral lists this long non-coding RNA (355 nucleotides) under Malus domestica (apple). RNAcentral describes it as "long non-coding RNA (MDOM_LNC013073)". Lineage: Eukaryota; Viridiplantae; Streptophyta; Magnoliopsida; Rosales; Rosaceae. The record is from RNAcentral.